UACAGAGGGGGCAAGCGUUGUUCGGAAUUACUGGGCGUAAAGGGCGCGUAGGCGGCCCGCUAAGUCGAACGUGAAAUCCCCGAGCUCAACUCGGGAACUGCGUCCGAUACUGGCGGGCUUGAAUCCGGGAGAGGGAUGCGGAAUUCCAGGUGUAGCGGUGAAAUGCGUAGAUAUCUGGAGGAACACCGGUGGCGAAGGCGGCAUCCUGGACCGGCAUUGACGCUGAGGCGCGAAAGCUAGGGGAGCAAACGAG
RNAcentral lists this ribosomal RNA (253 nucleotides) under uncultured bacterium. Its description in RNAcentral is "partial 16S ribosomal RNA". It matches the Rfam family "Bacterial small subunit ribosomal RNA", at positions 524 to 776 of the family's 1533-position model. The record is from RNAcentral.